This is a long non-coding RNA of Amphiprion ocellaris (clown anemonefish), 1471 nucleotides long. RefSeq lists it as uncharacterized. The record is from RefSeq and is a predicted model, not a curated record. The transcript has 2 exons. Lineage: Eukaryota; Metazoa; Chordata; Actinopteri; Pomacentridae.
CGUGCAAUCAGGGGCGAUCCGAGACGAGUCAGCCGGUUGUCUGAUCUCAAGCCAUUCCGCCUCCGUGUCGACGGCGGAGAGAAAAGCCGAGAGACUCCUUCGCUGCACCGGCUGCAGUGGCAGCGACGAGCCGCGGCGGUGCGACCGGCUCCUGUCUGCUCGUGCCUCCCAGAAUCCCGGUUUCCACCAACAAGAACCCCUCCAGAGAAUCCAGACUUGGCCACCAUUCUGGAUCAGCUUGGUCUCCUUCCGUUCUCACUCCUGUCUGGACUGGUUCACUCCCUUCUGUCUCUCCGACGCCAGCCGCCAGCCGCCAGCCACGCCAAUGCCAGCCACAAACAGCGGCAGCUGCCAUUCCACUGUGGAACGCCAGCCACACCAUCAGCCGCCAUCAGCUAAGUUCCUUUUUUUUUCUCGUCUGCAUUUAUUCUCAUUGUUUAACUCCACAAAAGAGGUGUCAACAUUAUAUGAGAUUGAUGCAUAUUUUAGUCUUGCAGCCAAAUAUUUUAAUAUUUAGUGCAUGUGUGUGACCAUCACCAGCCCUCCCUGGAAGCUAAGCAGACAUUCUUUAUUAGAAUUCCCUAUUAUGAGCCAGGGAGGGCAGUGCUACACCUCAGUGAUGUGUGGGGGAAACAAAGACUGGACAGGACGAACAGGACGAACAGGAUGAACAGGGAUAGGAAAUAACAGGCGGUGCAAUUGCAAUUAAAGAUUGUGAGGUGGUGUGUUAUUCCCAACUACUAACUGCCCAUCAAUAAAACAGAAAAAAAAAACAAACAAUAAACACAACAAAAAAAGAGAUUCAAUAAAUAAAUAAUUAAACAAACGGUACUGAACACCAUAAUUGUGAAUGUCUUGACAGUAUAGAAUAGAAUAGGCCAGAAGAGGAUACUAGUGAAAAAGAGAAUGAGUUUAGUGUAGAGACUCUGGAGAGAUUCUCAGCACAUUCUGGCGGGUCCCAUCAUUCGCAGUCAAUGGGACUCGACAGGAGCUGGCGAGACCUGAUCAAACAUGCUAAGUUCCUAACCUGAACAGUACCAGACUCUAGUCACUCAUUGCUCCAUUUCUGGAUUACUGUCUGCAUUCAUUGUGCUACUGUUUAGCCAACCUCUGAUCAUUGUAUUUAGUGUUCAUGGUUGCGUGUAUUCAUGGUUAUCUUGGUCUGUCUAGUAUUCCUGCCUUGGUGUUGCCAUAUGUGGGUCUGCUAUUUGUUAGAAUAUUCUGAUCACAGUAUUUUGAGUUGGAUCCAGCUACUUUUGAUUGUAUUCCUGUCUUGGUGUUACCAUACGUGGGUCUGCUAACUUUGCCUUAUUCUGUCCUUGUAUUCUAGUCUGCCUCCCCGCUAGGAGGAGUCGUGUCUUUCUGCCGCCUUGAGCGGAACCUGCUAUUUCCCACUAUCGUGUAGUUUUCCGGUUGGCAGUUAUUGUUCUGUAUUGUGUUCCUGUUCUGUAAAUAAACGUUCUUAAAUUGC